CAAGAUCUUGUGCAACACGAUGUCUUCCAUUGCAGUUGCCCACGAGCCCAAUCAGCGGAUCAGGAGCCUCAUAGAGCUCUACUACGGCACACCAACCUGCCGAUUGCUACUCCCUCUGUCCAAAAUUACUAUAUGUUUUAGAUUUUCUAGAUAUAUUAAUUUUACUAUGCACCUAGAUAUAUAUUAUGUCUAGAUGUAUAGCAAAAGUUAUGUACUUAGAAAAGCUAAAAACGAAUAGUAAGUUGGGAUGGAGAGAGUAGCUCCCAAGCAUGCUGCGGCUGCUCCGCUCGGCUGACGAAUUACCAAGCAUGCUUCCACUUCGUGCCAGUUGAUGGACUGAGUCUUCAAUUGCAGCUGCUCACUAGCAGUUCAGGAGCCUCCCAUCUACCUAGCUCAGCUACGACACGCGGUGUAAGCAUUUGCACGUGCGUUGCUUCAAGGGCUAGCUAAAUCGUACAUUCCUCGUAACUCCCAAGCCUUAGAAUUUGUAGUAUUGAUCAUCACGUAUCACUGAGGAGAAAUCCGGAGGAUGAAUUUGGAGAACUGAAUAGAAGACGAACUUGUGAGCAUGUCUA
This 575-nucleotide long non-coding RNA is filed under the name Setaria italica (foxtail millet). RNAcentral describes it as "long non-coding RNA (SITA_LNC001057)". The record is from RNAcentral. Lineage: Eukaryota; Viridiplantae; Streptophyta; Magnoliopsida; Poales; Poaceae.